UACCGUGGCCAUGCCAACCCUGAAUGUGCCUGAUCUCGGGAGCUAAGCAGGGUCAGGCCUGGUUAGUACAUGGAUGGGAGACCACCUAGGAAUACCGAGUGCUGUAGGCU
RNAcentral lists this ribosomal RNA (110 nucleotides) under Pteropus alecto (black flying fox). The record is from RNAcentral. Lineage: Eukaryota; Metazoa; Chordata; Mammalia; Chiroptera; Pteropodidae.